Molecule: long non-coding RNA, 1318 nt
Organism: Poecile atricapillus (Black-capped chickadee)
Lineage: Eukaryota; Metazoa; Chordata; Aves; Passeriformes; Paridae
Exons: 3
Source: RefSeq, a predicted model, not a curated record
CAGAUUUCAUUUGGUACUUUUUAUUUGUUUUCUUUGCUAGAACAUGGACACUCAUAUUUAUGACCUUCUUGUUUUCCAGCACCUCCCAGAUGGCUCUGCCCCAAGUGCACACGCUGAAUUUUAUCUUCUGCCAGAUCCUUAUGAGGUCAGUCGAAGGAAAACAAGAACAGCUCCAAGAGGCUCUGACCCUACUUACAAUGAACUUUCCCUUCCCCGUCUACUGUUCCUGUCUCCUACAAUAAAUCCGGUUUCUGGGAAGAUUAUUGGACUCUGAGCCUCCUCCGUUCCUCCACCGAGCAUCCACAACGUGCUGAGACCGCAGUGCCUGAGGGCUUAAGAGCUCUGAAGGUUCGGUCUGGGACAAAUAGCUCCCAGAUCAUUCCCCACUCCUGACGCUGCUAGCGGUCAGUGAGGCAGAGCUAGCCUGAGCUGGAAAGGCCGCGGAAGGAGCAGCGUUAACUGGCGCCCAACGUGGGGCCUCUGCAGCCUGUGGAGACCCCCGGAGGAGUCGACCCUGUGGAUUACAAAGACUUGUGGGCGGCAGUUACCCCGGUUGUAGCAGGUCGGUUUUUGUCCGGCGGCACUCCCGGGGAAGAAGCGACAACCUCCGGUGUGCAGGAGACCGCUUCUGGGGCUCGGACGCCUUCCACAGCCCAAGUCAGGACCUGGAACAGAUAGAGAGGCAGGUUGACAGACCUGAGCUGCAGGAGCAGCUUAUCCUGGAGAUGGCAAAGACAAAUUGUAAUGACAUUUGUAAACAAGUUAUUUUCAGCCUGCCUUUGUAUCCACCGCCAACCUUGGAUGUCCUCAUUGAUGCAUGCGAGAAGAAAGUGCCAUUAGUGGGGACGUCCAGGGCGCCAUCUCUACCACCGGCGGCCACGAGACCACCGACUGCAGCAAUAGCCCAGCACCCGCCAGGCCAACCUCCACCACUGUCUGGAAAACCUCUGCAGUGCUAUCGCUGUAGGCAGCUGGGGCAUAUGACCAGGGAUUGCCCUGCCGCGCAUCCCUGCCCUGGACCUGCGAGGGGCAAUAUGGGGGGAAAAGGGGGAGAGGGAGUCUUUAAUAAAAAAAACUAAAAGCGCGGCGCGAACCUGCCCCGCGUGAAGCAACAAAUGGGGCAGGUAUCGCGGUGGGGGGGAAAAACACCAACCGGACAUGGCCUAUUCACUGGACGAGACACUUGGUAACGACACGAGACAUCCUCUUCCGGUCCCAGCACUGGACAGUAGUAGCUGUGGACCCGCUGGAGGAAAAGACAAUGGACACCGGACGUGACAGUAAGUACAUCGCCAUCGGGGACACCAAGCACACCCCU